Molecule: transfer RNA, 65 nt
Filed under: Amblyomma americanum (Lone Star tick)
Lineage: Eukaryota; Metazoa; Arthropoda; Arachnida; Ixodida; Ixodidae
Description: tRNA-Asn
Source: RNAcentral
UUAAUAGAAGCCAAAAUUGAGGCUUUUCAUUGUUAAUGAAAUAAUUGAAUUCAUUUCCUAUUAAA